RNAcentral lists this ribosomal RNA (229 nucleotides) under uncultured bacterium. Its description in RNAcentral is "partial 16S ribosomal RNA". It matches the Rfam family "Bacterial small subunit ribosomal RNA", at positions 568 to 796 of the family's 1533-position model. The record is from RNAcentral.
CGUGUAGGCGGUAACAUAAGUCUGGUGUGAAAGACUCCGGCUCAACCGGAGGAACGCGCUGGAAACUGUGUUGCUAGAGUAGUGGAGGGGAAACUGGAAUUCCUGGUGUAGGGGUGAAAUCUGUAGAGAUCAGGAAGAACACCGGAGGCGAAGGCGAGUUUCUGGCCAUUUACUGACGCUGAGGCGCGAAAGCGUGGGGAGCGAACAGGAUUAGAUACCCUGGUAGUCC